Molecule: long non-coding RNA, 110 nt
Organism: Rhagoletis pomonella (apple maggot)
Lineage: Eukaryota; Metazoa; Arthropoda; Insecta; Diptera; Tephritidae
Exons: 2
Source: RefSeq, a predicted model, not a curated record
CUCGUGUGGUAAACGCGAAAAAAAUCUCAGCUCUCAGCUCUGAUUGUAAAAUCAAGUGGUUCGUGUAUUAAACAAUUUUACGGUUUUUAGUGGACUUUAAAAACCAGCAG